CUUAUUUAAAACAGAAAUAACAGAAACUAAUAUCAGCGCCUGUCAGGACAUCUGCUGACUACGUGACCUUUGGCCCUGUUUCUUGUGCCCUUCCCUCGACUAGUAGGAGCACUUUUGGACCAUGACAGCAAGGGUCAUGUAUGGAGAUUCCAUUCUUGCCCUCCACGUCAUCCCAUGAUCUCCGGAUUUGUCUGGACGGCUCUGUCAAAGUGGCCUGGUCAGCGAGUAUGAUCAGACUCUGCUGCAUGUCUGAUUCUAUUGCUGUUGUUGGUUGUUCUUGCUUGUCUGUUGUCCCAAGCUGUAGUGGAUGGUUCCCCUUAAUUAAAUCAUCUCUUCUUUGGUUGUUUUGGCUUACAUUAAGGGCAUCAUUGUUCAGUGUUGAUGAACUGAAUGCAGGACCAGGUGUAACACCAAAUGCAGAGGUAGAAACUUUCAAGGUUAAAUUUCGCUGGUAAAGAAGAUCAUUUGAAGCACAGAAGAUCAAUUGCACCGCUGAAUUGAGGUUCUUUAAUGGAAUGUGCAUUUGAGAAGUUUACAGCUCAAUUUUGGUUUGGGGGUAAAUUCAAAUGGACAAACAAUGCUUUAGAUUAUGUUGGUGGUGAAGGUUGUACAAUAGAAAUUGAUGCAAACCUGAUUUCUUGGUUUGAU
Molecule: long non-coding RNA, 648 nt
Organism: Amaranthus tricolor (Joseph's coat)
Lineage: Eukaryota; Viridiplantae; Streptophyta; Magnoliopsida; Caryophyllales; Amaranthaceae
Exons: 3
Source: RefSeq, a predicted model, not a curated record